GAGGAAAGUCCGGGCAACAUAGAGCAUCCUACUUCCUAACAGAAAGCUGUCCGCGAGGGUAGAGUAACGUAGAAGAAAAUAACCGCCGGUGUCCUUGGGCAUAGGUAAGGGUGAGAAGGUAGGGUAAGAGCCUACCAGUCUUGUGGUGACACAAGGGCUGUGCGUCUUGGGAGUUGUAAGGUCAUGUAAACCGACGCUAUGAGAGUUGCUCGCUCCAUGUCGGAGGGUAGACCGCUAAAGCCUGUAUGGUGACAUGCGGCUCAGAUAAAUGACAGACACUUUGCUGAAUGAAGAAUGAUGAAUGAAUAAUGAAGA
Molecule: RNase P RNA, 315 nt
Filed under: Bacteroides cellulosilyticus DSM 14838
Lineage: Bacteria; Pseudomonadati; Bacteroidota; Bacteroidia; Bacteroidales; Bacteroidaceae
Description: RNA component of RNase P
Rfam family: Bacterial RNase P class A
About the family: Ribonuclease P (RNase P) is a ubiquitous endoribonuclease, found in archaea, bacteria and eukarya as well as chloroplasts and mitochondria. Its best characterised activity is the generation of mature 5'-ends of tRNAs by cleaving the 5'-leader elements of precursor-tRNAs.
Source: RNAcentral